Molecule: ribosomal RNA, 453 nt
Filed under: uncultured Porphyromonadaceae bacterium
Lineage: Bacteria; Pseudomonadati; Bacteroidota; Bacteroidia; Bacteroidales; Porphyromonadaceae
Description: partial 16S ribosomal RNA
Rfam family: Bacterial small subunit ribosomal RNA
Source: RNAcentral
ACGGAAGGCAGCAGUGAGGAAUAUUGGUCAAUGGGCGAGAGCCUGAACCAGCCAAGUCGCGUGAAGGAUGAAGGUUCUAUGGAUUGUAAACUUCUUUUAUUCGAGGGUAAAGUGAGCCACGUGUGGUUUAUUGCAAGUAUCGAAUGAAUAAGCAUCGGCUAACUCCGUGCCAGCAGCCGCGGUAAUACGGAGGAUGCGAGCGUUAUCCGGAUUUAUUGGGUUUAAAGGGUGCGUAGGCGGGUUAUUAAGUCUGUGGUAAAAGCGUGUGGCUCAACCAUACCAAGCCAUGGAAACUGGUGAUCUUGAGUGUAAACGAGGUAGGCGGAAUGUGAUGUGUAGCGGUGAAAUGCUUAGAUAUGUCACAGAACCCCGAUUGCGAAGGCAGCUUACCAGCAUACGACUGACGCUGAGGCACGAAAGCGUGGGUAUCAAACAGGAUUAGAUACCCUGGUA